Molecule: long non-coding RNA, 1391 nt
Organism: Sapajus apella (tufted capuchin)
Lineage: Eukaryota; Metazoa; Chordata; Mammalia; Primates; Cebidae
Exons: 2
Source: RefSeq, a predicted model, not a curated record
CACAAACACAAACAUGUGGGCAGCUGCAGGGCCAGAGUCCACUCCUGCUGCCCCCAACGUCCCUGUGGCAGGACAGUCAGCUGGUGACACUGGUGAGAGCAGGCACUGGGGACUGCCGGUGGUGACAGCCUUCUCUUGGGCUGAUGCUCAGCAGCCUGAGGAUUUACUGUGAGUGAGCCCAGAGUGUGUCUACAGACUGGCACCAAGGAGGCAGGGGCCUGGGAAGGCUCAACCUGGCCAGUGGCAGAGUACCAGGAAGGCUGCGAAACCCACUCCUGCUCACCUGAGGAGCACGGGGUGGAGAAAAGAAUGCCUACUCAAGAAUGCACAAUGACAGGCACACCAGGCAAGAAUCAUCACAACAGGACAGCACCAGGCAAUGGACAUCUGCAGAGAGCAGAGGGUCGACACAGUCUCAAAUCAUCUUCCUUCAGAUGACUUCGUAAGUACAAAAGGAAAAUACAGGUGACCUUUGGACAACACAGGUUUGAACCAUGAGAGGCCAGUUAUAAGCAUGUCUUUUUUCAGCCAGACACAGAUGGAAAAUACAGUCUUGAAGGGAUUUGAAACCUGCGUAUAUGGAAAGCCAGCUUUUUGCAUAUGUGGGUUCCCAGGGCUGACUAUGAGCGAAUCAGGGUACACGCAGGGGGUCCUGGAACCAAUGCCCCUCAUCCCCUGACGAAAGACUAUAGUAACUUAACAAUGCGAACCUUCAGUGACAAUACCAUAAUCAAGUUGUAAAGAUCAACAUCAGCAAAAACUGGACCAGCCAACACCAUCAUGGCUGUAGAAGGCCACCUCUUGUCUGGGGACCAGAUGGGAUCCCAACGAAACACCACACAAACCAAAGCGGCCCUUCAAGAAAUCCCAUCCAUCACGAGAGGUGUGGAAAGGCUGAGGAAUGCGCUGUACUAAAGGAAACUAAAGAGGUCUUAAAAGGAAUGCGACUGGUUCCUGAACCAGAAUAAAAGAAUAACAUAAAGGAGGUUUAUAUGAACAGUUGGGGAAACCUGAAUGAGGUCUGUAGAUUCAACCCUGCAUCUUAUUAAGGUUAAACAUCCUGACUGUGGUUAACUUUACUGUGCUAUGUAAUUGCAUAACCCUACCUUUAGUCAAUAGACUCAGGUAUUUAGGCGUAAAGACACUUGACACUUACAAAUGAGUCUCAAAUGGUCCAGAGAAAAGAAUCAUGACAUGUGUACAUAUAAAUGUAUAUACGUGCAUAUAUGUAUCUCUAUAUAUGUACGGAACAAUGGAAAUGCUUCGAAAUGUGGGAAAGAUAUUAACAAUUGGGGAAUCAGGGUAAAGAACAUAUGAGAGUUCUUUGCCCUAUUACCACAACUUCUCUAUAUGUUUGACAUUUUUUCAAAAUAAAAGUUUAAAGAAACACA